UAUUUUAUCCAUUGCUUCACUAAGUAAGAUGUAGUGGGCUUGGUCUCUAAGUCCUGUGGCCUCACCUAACAGUUAUUGACACAUUCUUUAGUUAAGUCAGACCCAUCAUUUACUAGCAGACGUAAAGCCGUCAUUGGGACCCUCACCUAACAGUUAUUGGGCCCAACCCCAUCUCUACCCCGAGACAUCAAAUGUCAAUAGAGUGGUUGUACCUUCCUGAUGCAAUCGAACCACUGUAACCAACCGAGAAUGAUCAACGCC
Molecule: long non-coding RNA, 261 nt
Filed under: Elaeis guineensis (African oil palm)
Lineage: Eukaryota; Viridiplantae; Streptophyta; Magnoliopsida; Arecales; Arecaceae
Description: long non-coding RNA (EGUI_LNC004131)
Source: RNAcentral